Molecule: ribosomal RNA, 555 nt
Filed under: Acanthamoeba sp. JPH18
Lineage: Eukaryota; Discosea; Longamoebia; Acanthamoebidae
Description: SSU rRNA
Rfam family: Eukaryotic small subunit ribosomal RNA
Source: RNAcentral
CCUCCUUCUGGAUUCCCGUUCCUGCUAUUGAGUUAGUGGGGACGUCACAGGGGGCUCAUCGUCGUCGUGCCAAAACACGGCGGCGGUGGGUCCCUGGGGCCCAGAUCGUUUACCGUGAAAAAAUUAGAGUGUUCAAAGCAGGCAGAUCCAAUUUUCUGCCACCGAAUACAUUAGCAUGGGAUAAUGGAAUAGGACCCUGUCCUCCUAUUUUCAGUUGGUUUUGGCAGCGCGAGGACUAGGGUAAUGAUUAAUAGGGAUAGUUGGGGGCAUUAAUAUUUAAUUGUCAGAGGUGAAAUUCUUGGAUUUAUGAAAGAUUAACUUCUGCGAAAGCAUCUGCCAAGGAUGUUUUCAUUAAUCAAGAACGAAAGUUAGGGGAUCGAAGACGAUCAGAUACCGUCGUAGUCUUAACCAUAAACGAUGCCGACCAGCGAUUAGGAGACGUUGAAUACAAAACACCACCAUCGGUGCGGUCGUCCUUGGCGUCGGUUUCGGCCGGCGCGGGGGCGGCUUAGCCCGGUGGCACCGGUGAAUGACUCCCCUAGCAGCUUGUGAGAA